CCAGAAGAGACCCUAACCGGUCCUCUCAACCCUGCCCAUCGUACCCUUUGUGUUGUUCCCCUCGGCGAGGCUUUUCAAGCCCGCCGGCGGGAAGAUCAACGAAACUCUUUGCAAGCAAGCAUUCCUGAAACCUCUGAUCGAAUACAAAUUGUCA
Molecule: unclassified non-coding RNA, 154 nt
Filed under: soil metagenome
Description: partial internal transcribed spacer 1
Source: RNAcentral